CCUACGGGAGGCUGCAGUGGGGAAUAUUGGACAAUGGGCGAAAGCCUGAUCCAGCCAUGCCGCGUGUGUGAAGAAGGCCUUCGGGUUGUAAAGCACUUUCAGUGGGGAAGAAAGCCUUGGGGCUAAUACCCUCGAGGAAGGACAUCACCCACAGAAGAAGCACCGGCUAACUCCGUGCCAGCAGCCGCGGUAAUACGGAGGGUGCGAGCGUUAAUCGGAAUUACUGGGCGUAAAGCGCGCGUAGGCGGUCUGAUAAGCCGGUUGUGAAAGCCCCGGGCUCAACCUGGGAACGGCAUCCGGAACUGUCGGGCUAGAGUGCAGGAGAGGAAGGUAGAAUUCCCGGUGUAGCGGUGAAAUGCGUAGCGAUCGGGAGGAAUACCAGUGGCGAAGGCGGCCUUCUGGACUGACACUGACGCUGAGGUGCGAAAGCGUGGGUAGCAAACAGGAUUAGAUACCCUUGUAGUC
This 465-nucleotide ribosomal RNA is filed under the name Vreelandella stevensii. RNAcentral describes it as "partial 16S ribosomal RNA". It matches the Rfam family "Bacterial small subunit ribosomal RNA", at positions 338 to 795 of the family's 1533-position model. The record is from RNAcentral. Lineage: Bacteria; Pseudomonadati; Pseudomonadota; Gammaproteobacteria; Oceanospirillales; Halomonadaceae.